This 2815-nucleotide long non-coding RNA is filed under the name Homo sapiens (human). RNAcentral's name for it is "HSALNT0080143". Lineage: Eukaryota; Metazoa; Chordata; Mammalia; Primates; Hominidae. The record is from RNAcentral.
GGCCUCACUGCCUGAGAGCUUAUACAAUGUUUGAUCUACCAACAUGGUGCUCUGUAUCAUAUCACUUGAGACCUAAGGACCCACUUUAUGGUAAAGAAGGAAGACAGUGGGCACAUGACCACAGGACACAAUUGUCCUUUAACAUACCAUGCCACAUAGAAUAUCCUGCCCAAUAGAGUGAUGGAAUGGACUUUGAAGCUCAUCUCAGGUGCCAGCUUGAAGAUGAAACCCUUUGAGGAGAAGGCCCAGUACAUAUUAUAUACCAUAAGACAAAAACGUCCUAAUAAGAAGAUAAGGUGACCGAAUAAGGGGAUUACUUGGCAGAGAUAUGAGAGAACUGGGUUCUUGACCCCACUUUGCCAUGAACUUGGUUUCAUCUCUUACCAAGAAGUUUCUUAUAUCAUUUCCAUGAAUUUUGUUAUGCUUGCACAACAUACCGUGAAACAUUCUGUUGGAAAAUGUGACAGAAAAGCCACUGAGAAAAUGCAGAAUUCAGGCCAAUUCAAACAAAGGACACAUUCUCAAUGGCUUUCUGGAAUGCUAAGCGUGAUGAUGGGCCACCUUACUGCCAACCUGUGCUUUUUGGAUGUAUCCAACUUAUGUACUGAUUAUAUGAAAUCUGGACUAUCUGCCUUGCCUGCUGUCUUCCUAAUAGACAGUGCUACAAAGAAUACAGCUGCUCAGUCCACAUGAACCCAUCAUCAACCAUAAAUGCCAAAGUGCCCUCCUAUAAAAGCAAAGUCUUUAUGACUCCACAUAUGCAAGACAUUUUCAUGACUGGUAAUAGAAGCUGAAAUAUGAGUUGUUAAUACCAUAUACAUUUUGUUCUGAAAAAGUAAAAUGUGGUGUUAUGCCCUGGGCACUUCUGAAAACUCAAAAUUCCUAGGUAUUUAGAAGUUUCAACAACCCCAUACAUAGCCUUUUCCUAGUUCUCUAUUGAUGAUUCAGUGGGCCUUGAACUUCUGUGAAAAGCUGCAAUCUCUUUAAAGCAGAAAAACAGAUAAGAAGAAAAACUAGCCUUUUACAAUGGAAGGAAAAUAGGGUCCCGGGAAUGGCCAUGAAACAAGGAAACAGAUCAAGUAUGUCCUAUGGUUAUGUAUUAUUAACAUGACAGAUGAAGAUAAGAUUAUGAAUUGAAUCUCUGCCAAUGCAAAGAUUGAGGAAAUGAAGCAAAGGACAUAAACUGUGUAGGAUGGUAAAGUGUUAUAAUUGGUGUUACUUGCUUUUGUUGUGAAGAAAGUGGGAUCUGACUAUGUCUGUGAGGAAGGAUAUGUAAAUUUGUAUGUAUAUAUAAUGAAUAUAUACUAUAUAUACACACACUAUAUAUGUACAUACUAUAAUAUAUACGUAUAGACAUUCACAUAUAUGAAUAUACAUGCAUAUAUAUAAAACCAGAUGGAUGGUUAUAUAUCUUCUUCCCUAGUUUGUUCUUACUACAUUUGAUGUAGAUUUGUUCUAAUUGGUGCCUUAAAUAAUUUGGCCUAGACCAUAAUAAAAACACCCAGUUCUAAGGAGUUUGGUUCUACAAUUUUAAAAUUUAUUUAUACACUAAGGUUGGUUAUGGGCAGGGCGGUGAAAUCAUUUGAGUUGUAAAAUUGGGUAAGAGAAAAGUUUUACUGAUUUGAUAAAAACCCAUCUGAGUGCUUGCUACGUUCAGCAUUUAUGUGAGACUCUGUCAGGUAGAAAUAUGUCACUGAAAGGCAUCAGUUCUUUUGCAAUCUGGUCUGAAAUAUCUGAUGGGAAAUGAAAAGCCAUUAUGGCUACCUGGUAGCAAGUCCAAUUACAAAUGACUCCAGAGCCCUCUGCAAUGUGACCUGACUCUAAAUCGUCCUUUAGGAUUGUCAUCCAGUCUGCUGGCCCUCUGCUUUCUGCCUACUCACAUGUAAUUGGGAAAUGGAAGGUACUUAUCUAUCUUGUUGAUGGCACUGUGCUCAUUUGAUAACAGUUGCUCCACAAGAGCACAAGAAGGAAAGUGCAUUUGCUGUAGCUAUAAGUUUACUCACUGAAGUGAGUAAAUCAUGGAUAUUGCAAUUGGACAAAUAGACAUUGGGAAGAGGGGGUGGGGUAAUUGGACUUUUUCUUUUAAAAAGGAACAAUAAAAUAAACCUUGUUCUUCACCCUCUUUACUUGACUUCUAUUAUCUUAUUUAUGAAAAAUACACACAAAAGAAGAAAGAAAUAUGAAACUAGUAUCGAAGGAGUUAGAAAGAGACAGUCAUUUGUAUUCUUGGCAGAAGAAGAAUCUAAACUAAAUAUUAGGAGUAACUUUCACUCUCUUGAUACAGACAUCCUUCAAGAAUUCUCCUUUCGUAGGAGGAAGCUGUCUUUCUUUUCUUGUCCCAAUACUACACUGAAAAUGCUAUCUUUUUUUCUUUGCUCUGGAGUCAGCCUAGUUAGGGAGUCAAGGCUUGUUUUGCAGUAGAAUACUGCACCAGGCUCGUUUCAUGUUGAUCUUGCAAAAUUCGGAGUUGUGAAUAUUCACUGCAGGUGUCCUGCUAAGGGAGUAAAUUUUCACAGACUAAACAGGCACUAAAGAAGUCCAUUCAGAUGUAAGAAUUGAAUGUAGGGGUUUUAUGUUUUUAUACAUUUUUUAUGAAUUAUAAAAAAUAAAUGAACAAAAACCAUAUCUGCAAAUAAUCAGAGGGAUCUAAAACCAUGUUUAGAGAUUUGCAGAUAAAAAUUUUCACCUCAGCAAGCAUUGAGGAAUGUUUUGUUAAAGUGCUGUCACAGUCAUAAAAGCAAUGAUUUUACAUCUUUUAUUAGCGCUUCUGAUUUAGAAAGCUGAAAAGCACAUUGAUUCAUAUGUGAAAAUGAAA